This 253-nucleotide ribosomal RNA is filed under the name Aridibacter nitratireducens. Its description in RNAcentral is "partial 16S ribosomal RNA". It matches the Rfam family "Bacterial small subunit ribosomal RNA", at positions 524 to 776 of the family's 1533-position model. The record is from RNAcentral. RNAcentral also lists the same sequence under 2 other names. Lineage: Bacteria; Pseudomonadati; Acidobacteriota; Blastocatellia; Blastocatellales; Blastocatellaceae.
UACGUAGGGACCAAGCGUUGUUCGGAUUUACUGGGCGUAAAGGGCGCGUAGGCGGCAAUUCAAGUCAGCUGUGAAAUCUCCGGGCUUAACUCGGAACGGUCAGCUGAUACUGCUUUGCUAGAGUGCAGAAGGGGCAAUCGGAAUUCUUGGUGUAGCGGUGAAAUGCGUAGAUAUCAAGAGGAACACCUGAGGUGAAGACGGGUUGCUGGGCUGACACUGACGCUGAGGCGCGAAAGCUAGGGUAGCAAACGGG